RNAcentral lists this ribosomal RNA (414 nucleotides) under Streptococcus intermedius. Its description in RNAcentral is "bacterial SSU rRNA". It matches the Rfam family "Bacterial small subunit ribosomal RNA", at positions 53 to 461 of the family's 1533-position model. Lineage: Bacteria; Bacillati; Bacillota; Bacilli; Lactobacillales; Streptococcaceae. The record is from RNAcentral.
ACGCACAGGAUGCACCGUAGUUUACUACACCGUAUUCUGUGAGUUGCGAACGGGUGAGUAACGCGUAGGUAACCUGCCUGGUAGCGGGGGAUAACUAUUGGAAACGAUAGCUAAUACCGCAUAAGAACAUUUACUGCAUGGUAGAUGUUUAAAAGGUGCAAAUGCAUCACUACCAGAUGGACCUGCGUUGUAUUAGCUAGUAGGUGAGGUAACGGCUCACCUAGGCGACGAUACAUAGCCGACCUGAGAGGGUGAUCGGCCACACUGGGACUGAGACACGGCCCAGACUCCUACGGGAGGCAGCAGUAGGGAAUCUUCGGCAAUGGGGGUGAACCCUGACCGAGCAACGCCGCGUGAGUGAAGAAGGUUUUCGGAUCGUAAAGCUCUGUUGUUAAGGAAGAACGAGUGUGAGAA